CCUACGGGGUGCAGCAGUGGGGAAUAUUGGACAAUGGGCGAAAGCCUGAUCCAGCCAUGCCGCGUGUGUGAAGAAGGCCUUCGGGUUGUAAAGCACUUUCAGUGGGGAAGAAAGCCUUGGGGCUAAUACCCUCGAGGAAGGACAUCACCCACAGAAGAAGCACCGGCUAACUCCGUGCCAGCAGCCGCGGUAAUACGGAGGGUGCGAGCGUUAAUCGGAAUUACUGGGCGUAAAGCGCGCGUAGGCGGUCUGAUAAGCCGGUUGUGAAAGUCCCGGGCUCAACCUGGGAACGGCAUCCGGAACUGUCAGGCUAGAGUGCAGGAGAGGAAGGUAGAAUUCCCGGUGUAGCGGUGAAAUGCGUAGAGAUCGGGAGGAAUACCAGUGGCGAAGGCGGCCUUCUGGACUGACACUGACGCUGAGGUGCGAAAGCGUGGGUAGCAAACAGGAUUAGAUACCCGGGUAGUC
This 465-nucleotide ribosomal RNA is filed under the name Vreelandella stevensii. RNAcentral describes it as "partial 16S ribosomal RNA". It matches the Rfam family "Bacterial small subunit ribosomal RNA", at positions 338 to 795 of the family's 1533-position model. Lineage: Bacteria; Pseudomonadati; Pseudomonadota; Gammaproteobacteria; Oceanospirillales; Halomonadaceae. The record is from RNAcentral.